CUCUCCAGAAGUUCCUUAAUGUCUCUGUUUCCAUUGCCAUUGUUCAGCAUCUCGUCAUACCAAGAACGCCUCAUGUCUUCCCAAUAGCUUCGUGGCCUUGCUAUGUCACUAAACCAAUCAUAUGGGGCUUCCUCAACGUAAUCCUGCUGUUCUUCUUCUUCUUCUUCUUCAUCAAAUUCUUCUUCAUCUCCCUCUCCAUCUCCUUCUUCUUCUGGCUCUGGUUCUUCCCCGAUUGCACAGUCCAAAAACCGUUCUUGCCAUGCUUCCACCGAAUCCUGAAAUAGGCUGGUUUCUGCCUUCUCGGGUUCAGGGUAGUUUGAUUGCUCCUCUACAUGAUGAUUCACCACUACAUCCUCAACUCUUUCACCUGUCUCUUUCUUAUCCAAUACCUGUUCUUGUCUCGACUCUUGCCUCACCUUCUGC
RNAcentral lists this long non-coding RNA (423 nucleotides) under Linum usitatissimum (flax). Its description in RNAcentral is "long non-coding RNA (LUSI_LNC001769)". The record is from RNAcentral. Lineage: Eukaryota; Viridiplantae; Streptophyta; Magnoliopsida; Malpighiales; Linaceae.